RNAcentral lists this ribosomal RNA (848 nucleotides) under uncultured crenarchaeote. RNAcentral describes it as "bacterial SSU rRNA". It matches the Rfam family "Archaeal small subunit ribosomal RNA", at positions 73 to 922 of the family's 1478-position model. The record is from RNAcentral. Lineage: Archaea; Thermoproteati; Thermoproteota.
CAUACAAGGCAGACGGCUCAGUAACGCGUAGUCAACCUAACCUAUGGACGGGAAUAACCUCGGGAAACUGAGUAUAAUGCCCGAUAGAACACUAUACCUGGAAUGGUUUGUGUUCCAAAUGAUUUAUCGCCGUAGGAUGGGACUGCGGCCUAUCAGUUUGUUGGUGAGGUAAUGGCCCACCAAGACUAUUACAGGUACGGGCUCUGAGAGGAGUAGCCCGGAGAUGGGUACUGAGACACGGACCCAGGCCCUAUGGGGCGCAGCAGGCGAGAAAACUUUGCAAUGUGCGAAAGCACGACAAGGUUAAUCCGAGUGGUUUCUGCUAAAGAAACCUUUUGUUAGUCAUAGAACCACUAAUGAAUAAGGGGUGGGCAAGUUCUGGUGUCAGCCGCCGCGGUAAAACCAGCACCUCAAGUGGUCAGGAUGAUUAUUGGGCCUAAAGCAUCCGUAGCCGGCUCUGUAAGUUUUCGGUUAAAUCUGUACGCUCAACGUACAGGCUGCCGGGAAUACUGCAGAGCUAGGGAGUGGGAGAGGUAGACGGUACUCGGUAGGAAGGGGUAAAAUCCUUUGAUCUAUUGAUGACCACCUGUGGCGAAGGCGGUCUACCAGAACACGUCCGUCGGUGAGGGAUGAAAGCUGGGGGAGCAAACCGGAUUAGAUACCCGGGUAGUCCCAGCUGUAAACUAUGCAAACUCAGUGAUGCAUUGGCUUGUGGCCAAUGCAGUGCUGCAGGGAAGCCGUUAAGUUUGCCGCCUGGGAAGUACGUACGCAAGUAUGAAACUUAAAGGAAUUGGCGGGGGAGCACCACAAGGGGUGAAGCCUGCGGUUCAAUUGGAGUCAACGCCGGA